UAUAUAUAUAUAUAUAUAUAUAUAUAUAUAUAUGCUUAGAAAACAGGCAAAAAGCGAGCAACCUCUAGAGGGCCAAGCCUCAGGAACCAGAGCAAUUCUCCCAGCAGACCAGAUCCAUUUAUAGAUUCACAGGUCACUUCCGCUGCUGCCUUCCUCCAGUUGCCACCACACCCUGGAACACUUAUUCAGAUUCUAACAGGAGACUGUCUCAUUAGCCAAGCUGAAGUCGAUUCCCUGCCCCUGAACUAGAGAAAAUGAAUUUGGUUCCACUUGCUUGCCAGGUCCUAGGAAUGCACACAAUGGCACACUUCUAACGUGAGAAGAAGUUUUAAUUGUCAUGGUACCUUGUCAUGAUUGGAUACUGGAUAACCAAAAUAAUAAUAGUAAUAAUAACUAUUCAUUAUAUGAUCCAUCUCCCCAUCCAUGCACCUUCCCCCCCAUCCAUCUAUUCAUCCAUUCAUCCUUCCACUCACACAUACAUACAUACAUAUUUGCCAAUAAACACACAUCACCAGAUUUCAAUCAUGUUCUUUAUAUCCAAGAGCCCAUAAAAAAUGAGACUUUCAGAGACAGCUUUUAUGGACCUAAUUUUCCCCAAGGCUUAUGUCUCCCUGAGCAGUAGAUAAAAAACAUUGCAGCCUGAAAAGAAUUGACUUGAAAGAAUUAGAGCCCCUGCCUAAAUGCCUAACAUAAUACAAAGGAGUUGACUCCAGCCCCAGGGUGAAUGGGAUCUUACGUUUUAUAAAGCAAGAUAUCUGUUAUGAUAACAGGACAAAAUGGCUUUGGUCAAAUCUCAAAUCUACUGCAUCUAAAGCAAGAAUGUCACUCUCAAAUUCAGAUUAAAAAUUCAUACAAAAUGCAAACAGUGUGUACAAAUUCUGUUUAAAAUUCUCUUUACAGAACCAAAUGAGUUGCCAUUGCUACUAAGCUCCUGUUCUACCUGAGAUGUAUUUAACACUUUGAGCAGAGUUUAAGUCUUUCUUCUGGAACUAAUAACCUCACUUAAUUUGUAAUUUCCAUAUGAGAACUGACUCAAAUUUUUUUCUUAAAUCACAUUAUAAUUCAGUAAAAUUCCAAAUUGGCCCUUGGGAUCCCCUAUUAUGACAGCCUCCACAAAAGAUUCUGUAUUUUAAAGGAGUUCAUAGUUUUGGCAUUUUAAUGUCAUGUUUUUCAGGAAUCAAAAUUCAGUCACCAAAAUGUGCUAUAAUGCAGUUAUAACAGACACACUCUUGCAUCUACCUCCCACCCCUGACUGUUUAGGUGCAAGGCACCAUACUAAGAUAUUUACAUAAAUCAGUUCAUUCAGUCCUCACAACAACUAUGACAUAGGCUUUUUUUUUUCUUUUCCAUUUUAUACAUGGGAAAAUUGAGACUUGCAACAUAAGCUAUUUACCUAACUUUACACAUAUAAAUGAUGAUACGGGAAAUCAAACCCAGUAGUCCUAGUCU
This 1449-nucleotide long non-coding RNA is filed under the name Homo sapiens (human). RNAcentral's name for it is "non-protein coding lnc-CADPS-4:1". The record is from RNAcentral. Lineage: Eukaryota; Metazoa; Chordata; Mammalia; Primates; Hominidae.